Gasterosteus aculeatus aculeatus (three-spined stickleback) is the source of this 6008-nucleotide long non-coding RNA. The record is from Ensembl. NCBI's taxonomy places the organism in Eukaryota, Metazoa, Chordata, Actinopteri, Perciformes, Gasterosteidae.
GAGUUUGGCCGGAGAAUCGGAGCAGCGGGGGCGGUAUUGCACCCGCUUUACCGCACCGUUGUGACGAAAAGAGAGCUGAGCCGGAAGGCAAAGCUCUCGAUCUACCGGUCAAUCUUCGUUCCUACCCUCACCUAUGGUCAUGAAGGAUGGGUCAUGACCGAAAGAACUAGGUCACAGGUACAAGCGGCCGAAAUGGGUUUUCCUCAGGAGAGUGACUGGUGUCUCCCUUAGGGAUAGGGUGAGAAGCUCAGCCAUUCGCGAGGAGCUUUCCUUUGCGUCGAAAGGAGCCAGUUGAGGUGGUUUAGGCAUCUGGUGAGGAUGCCCCCUAGGCGCCUCCCUAGGGAGGUGUUUCAGGCACGGCCAGCUGGAAAGAGGCCCCGGGGAAGACCCAGGACUAGGUGGAGAGAUUAUAUCUCUGCACUGGCCUGGGAACGCCUUGGGAUCCCCCAGUCAGAGCUGGUAGAUGUGGCCCGGGAAAGUGUGGGGUCCCCUGCUGGAGCUGUUGCCCCCGCGACCCGACCCCGGAUAAGCGGUUGAAGAUGGAUGGAUGGAUGGACAUUCAUAUAUGUUAUCCGUUUACAUGUCAUGGCAAAACAUUCAACCUCAGUGACACAAGGGUACAUCUGAUGAUACAUUGUCAACAUUGCAUGUCUGUCAGACUCAUCCACGAUUGUCUGGUGGAAUGGAGAAAGAGGCACCACUGUACAGUUUUCUAGGUUCUGCUGACACCAAAAUACUGCUUUACAUAAAGCAUAUCAGCUGUUUCAUUGCAAGUCCCAACCAUUUGUCUUCCUAAAAUACUGGUCCUUCCGUAUAACAAUAACCUUGUAUGUGAUUGGAGGACCCUUAGACUCCUCGUCCAAUCACGUGUGAGGUCAUAGGCAUGACUGAUACAGCAGUACUUGCAAGACGAGCAUACAAACAGUGUUACUAUAUUCAGAAGAACUGUAUCUCCAGUUCCUUUGUUUGGUUUUUGCUGGUUUGUGAAUAAUGGCUGGACGACGUCUCGCGUUCAACUCGCCUUCAACUCAUCUCCGCGGUCAGCAACUUUCGGCCAGUCCGCAGACAGACGAGAAGAAACUGCUGAAUGCUCUCAGUGGAUUGUCUCGCCAACUCCAACAACAAACUGCCGAUAUCAAUGAGCGUUCGGGACUCUCCAGGUUGCUGUCCAUAGAGGAGAGGUUUGCGGCGCGGGAGGAACUGACUCAAAGAAGAGGAGACUGGCGCUAGCGGAAGCGGUGCGCCGUCUUCACAACUCCGAGACGAAUUACAGGCGCUACGAACCGGAGCAAGGGUAAGAUUUAAAAAAUAUGCUUUCAUUCUGCGGUAUAAGGAAAUAUAUACAUAUAGAUACCAUAGGAUGGAUACCGAUCAUAACUGUACAUUUUGUUUUCACAGACUAAUCUCGCCUCAUAAUGAGGCGGUGACCUCGUAUUUGCUCCGGGAAAAGUCCAGAUUUCGAUUUAGAUAAAGACGUCAUUGUGUGUUAGUGACACUGUUUACAGUUUCUCCUUCCUUGUUAAAUGUUACUGUGACUUGCGUUUGAUUUUUUAUUCAUACCACUGUAGUGAAUGUGACUGCAUAAACUUCCACACCACACUCAUUUAAUUGUUUUCCAGCCGCCUGUAAGACGUAUUUUGAGACGGUACGCAGGAGCUUCAGGUUCUCCCAGCCGGAACACUCAUUGCGGGCGGAAGCUGCGAAGAAUUCAGCGCGGAGUCGAGCGAGAAGAAAGAGGGUAAGAGUUUAUUUGCUGACUUUUUUCAGGUGCAUUGAUAGAUGUGUUGUGUCCAUACUCAUCGCACAGUACUGAUUCAUUGUUGUUUUUACAGCUGCUGGAAUCGAGACAAAGUGUGCUGGCUGAUGACGAGGUGGAACUCUGGAAAUCCGCCACCGUAGAGCUCAUGUCGGACGGAGAGGAUGGCGUUGUUUGCGGGGUCUCGGGGUGGAUUGUACGGUCGCCGCCAAAAUACAGAGCCACGCACACUAGGCGCCUGCACAACAGACCUGCCUCGGAAAACAUGCCGCCAGUGACAGUCUACAACCCCGAGGAGGCAAACGGACAGUUUACUGAGCUGUAGUUUUUUAAACCGCCUUUACCCAAGUGUGGGCAGAUCCUCACUUUGUAUAUAGUUGUUGUUUGUAUGUUGUUAAUAAAGCUCUUUCUUUGCAUAAACAUGUUCCUGGCAAAUGUUCAUUUUCUCUAUAAAUUCAUUGAUGUCCUGGAUGGUAUCCUAAUAAUAGUGUAGUAGCCUACAUAGGAUAACAAUGAAAUGAAUGUCCAGCAUAAUAUGAAUAUAUAAAUAUAUAUAAAUAAAAUGAGGCGGGUGACCAAUAGCGACAGAUCUGCCAACCAAUCACGAGUGAUUUGAAAGUUGUGGUUUCAUCACAAUCAUGAGCAAGGAAAACUCAAGCCUUGGUCUGCCCAGGUGUGGUUUUGCUGCCAAUCACGAGUGAUUUUACUUGUUUGAAAGAUGUGGUUUCAUCCAAUACGGAGUAGGGAUAUUUAAGCCCGCUCAGGCACCCGCGGUUUCGCUGUAUUCAUAUGCUAAUUUGGGCCAUUCGCACCUCCACCAGCUCUCCACAUACGCCUUGGAUUGUUUCCGACAAACACGACGUGCGCGGGUUGCAAAUUGUCGGAAAUGGUCGGAAAUUAGGGAGAUUUCCGGGCGUUUCCGGGGACGAAAAUCUCACUUUUCAUGCAGUGCAGUCCGUCAAGCUCCUGAAAUUUGCGGAUGACACCACCUUCGUUGGACUGAUCUCUGGUGGUGAUGAGUCCGCCUACAGGUGGGAAUCUGGUGUCGUGGUGCAGCCAGAACAACCUAGAGCUCAACGCCCUAAAGACAGUGGAGAUGGUUGUGGAUUUCCGGAGGAACAGAGCCCCACCUUCCCCCAUUACUCUGUGCGACUCCCCCGUCACUAUUGUGGAUUCCUUCCGUUUCCUGGGCUCCAUCAUCACCCAGGACCUCAAGUGGGAGCUGAACAUCAGCUCCAUCACCAAUAAGCAGCAGAGGUUGUUCUUCCUCAGGCAGCUGAAGAAAUUCAACCUGCCAAAGACGAUGAUGGUGCACUUUUACACGGCCAUCAUCGAGUCCAUCCUCUGCUCCUCCAUCACCGUCUGGUACGCUGCAGCCACAGCCAAGGACAAGGGCAGGCUGCAGCGUGUCAUCCGCUCUGCAGAGAGGGUGAUUUAGAUUAGAUUAGAUUCAACAACGAAAUGCAGUUUAACAUCCAACCAGAAGUGCAAAAUUGCAAAAAGUGCAGAGUAUGUGCAUAUGUAAAGUGUAAUAAGUGAAUAAAUAGAUAUGAUCGGCUGCAAUCUGCCGUCCCUGCAGGACUUGUUCGCUUCUAGGUCUCUGAAGAGAGCUAAAGAGAUCGUAGCCGACCCCUCUCACCCCGGACAAAACCUGUUUGUGCCCCUUCCAUCUGGCAAGUGUUUAACACUUAAAGUGAUAACAUUUAUGUACGUACAUUUGCAAAUGUACAUACUAAUUAUAAUGGUGAUGGUGGCCCAGAAGUGCAAAACACAACAGCAAAUAGGAAAACACAACGACAUCCACCAGAGGAUGGACCCUUCUGAUUGGACAGACGGACUGUCUGUCUUUUAACAGGAAAUGAGUACAGGGCUCUAAAGUAUCACGCAUUUCGGUCUCUUGUAACGCACUCCCGCCACACAUCCAAUUCCUCACGACAAGGAAUUGGAAUCCGGUCCCUGAGCCGUGUCGCCCGUAGUGUCCGCGGUACCCCUGCCCCCCCUUUUAUUUUACACACCUAAAUAUAAUUUACAUUUAUAAUAAACAACAAAACACCGGUAAAACAAUGGUGAAACACUAGUAGGACACUCGUAAAACAUCGCCAUCUCUCUGCUGCGGCUCUCCUUCUGCGCUCACUUCCACCCCUCAUCAUAGGCUCUCCCGCCACUGAUUUCUUGAUUUCUCAGCUUCCAGAAUCCGUGAGAAUUACGUUGAUUGUGCAAAUAGUUAAGGAGUCUCACGUUAAUUUGAAUCCUCCAUGUCACGGCGAAAGGCUUCGGACUGAGACGGUUCAAAGACAAACAGUCCGUCUGUCCAAUCAGAAUGGUCCGUCCACUGCUAGAUAGGCCCUACCCUUUCCGUACGAAGUUAAUGUCGUUGUGUUUUCCCAUUUGCCCUUGUGCCUCCUAUUUUUUGUUGUAUUUUUCUAUUUACUGUUGUUUUCUUAUUUGCCAUUGUGAUUAUCAGCUCCAUGGCAGCUACAAUUCACAUUGUAUUUACAAAACCUUCAGUUCAUCAGGUAAUUAGUGCCUUUCUCCGCCCAAUAUACUGCACAUUGCGAUCAUUAAAGAAAAUGCUGGCCGUGUAAAGCCUAACAUUAUUUUCAAACAGCAAUAUUGUCUCUUGAAUACUGGUUUAGGCAGCAAUUUACCUCAUAUUUUUAAGUCGAAACAACAUGUUAGAUUUUACAUUGUAUGAUUGGCUGAUCCCGUUUUCCUUACCCUAAAACUCCUCAUGACUAAACAGAACAAACAAAGGGGACAACUGUCAGCCAAUCAGACGUUCAGUAGUCGUUCAGUCAUGCUUAACCAUAGUAGGGAAAAAAUCAUAAAGGUGAAUAAAUCUUUUUCCGGACCAAUGAGAGCUUUUUUGGGAAUAUUGGUGUUCUGGAAUAAUAGCCUCUCGGAACAAGGGUCAGUCCCCCUCACAAGUGCUUGAGGGGAGGGGGAACUGCCCCAGAUAGUCACUAUCUUGUUGCUCUAUGAGGUAAUGUUGGAAUUCACAAAAGUUGGAAAUCUGUAUAUGCAUAUGUAUAACUCCACAAUGGGUGGGCCAGUAUCAUGCAUGGUAGCCCAUCAUCGGAGAUGAAAUAAUGAACAGGAGGCAAAUAAUCAAAGACUGUAAAAGCGAGACAGAUACAUUGCUGCCAACAUAUUUUUGACCGAUAGAUGUUCAGUUCUUAAUACAUUGCAAUAAGUCUCCUUUUAGGCUAUUGAGUUUUUCCAUACAUGACAAUUACAUCGCUAUUGUAAGCUGCUACAUAAAGCAAUAACCAAUUUAGUUCCCAAGUCCUGUGGCCAUCACACAGUAACUAAUAACAUCCAUCAUGGUAUUUUUUUGGGCCCUUGUUUUUGUGAAAGCUGUUCUUCUAGACUGAAAUACAACCCAGCUUUAUUGUGGCUAGAAACCAGUUCUGCUCCUGCUGCAACCAAAAAUUAAUGUUCUCUGUAAACCCAACCUAAGGAGGGUCUGACUAUGUUAUCAGAUUCAAGGUGCAAAUGCAGCAUAUAACAUGUUGGGAGGGAUCCGUAAAUUACAUUGAGACCCUUUAUAGCACUAGUUAAAUAUAUGCAUGGGAAUUCAGUCAACAUUAUGUACUGAGAUGAAUGUGUUGAUUGCAGGUGUGCAUUCCCACUUACUGUGAGAUUUCAGAAAACAGUUCUAGUGGCUUAAAGAUGGGUUUAUCAACUAAUUGUGCCCGUAGAUGUGGCUUGAGACCUUGAUGGAUUUUUCCAUUGUCUCUACUUUCACCGCUUAUGACUUAUUCAGUGAUUCAUUUUUAAUCAAAGCUGAAAUCAAAGAUGUCUGUUAGGCCAUUAACAGCCCAUAAUAUUUGGCUGUAACAAAUAAAACAUGUACUUUUUAUUUCAAAACGUGACAUGAGUGAAGUGAAAGCAAAUAGAUUUGAUUACUUUGUAAAUGGGGUGAUGAAAAGGUCAUACUUAUUGUACUGACAGUUUCUGUCAAAUGAUCCAUUAUCGUAGGCCCGCUGAGACUUAAAAAACACAUUCGGCAGGUACAUCUGCUCACUUGAAGACAGCCCAAUUUUAAAUUAAUCUCAUUGCAUAAUUCAAAGUUGUGACUAAGUCAGGCAUGUUAAAAAAGGCAUCUUAAAUUAUACCAUCCAAACUCUGGUGUCUCAUUAAUAUUACAGGAACUAUUCUUUGACUUGAUUUCAUUUACUUUAUCCAUCUGAGUGAGGACAAACGUCCCAGAAGGGAGGAAUUACAAAGGGUGAAAAUCACAUUUUAGGGU